UACGUAGGGAGCAAGCGUUGUCCGGAAUCAUUGGGCGUAAAGGGUGCGUAGGCGGGUCUUUAAGUCAGGGGUGAAAUCCUGGAGCUCAACUCCAGAACUGCCUUUGAUACUGAGGAUCUUGAGUACGGGAGAGGUGAGUGGAACUGCGAGUGUAGAGGUGAAAUUCGUAGAUAUUCGCAAGAACACCAGUGGCGAAGGCGGCUCACUGGCCCGUAACUGACGCUGAGGCACGAAAGCGUGGGGAGCAAACAGG
RNAcentral lists this ribosomal RNA (253 nucleotides) under uncultured bacterium. Its description in RNAcentral is "partial 16S ribosomal RNA". It matches the Rfam family "Bacterial small subunit ribosomal RNA", at positions 524 to 776 of the family's 1533-position model. The record is from RNAcentral.